This 613-nucleotide ribosomal RNA is filed under the name Cortinarius sp. UBC F17132 OC60. RNAcentral's name for it is "eukaryotic LSU rRNA". It matches the Rfam family "Eukaryotic large subunit ribosomal RNA", at positions 1 to 609 of the family's 3401-position model. The record is from RNAcentral. Lineage: Eukaryota; Fungi; Basidiomycota; Agaricomycetes; Agaricales; Cortinariaceae.
UGUGACCUCAAAUCAGGUAGGACUACCCGCUGAACUUAAGCAUAUCAAUAAGCGGAGGAAAAGAAACUAACAAGGAUUCCCCUAGUAACUGCGAGUGAAGCGGGAAAAGCUCAAAUUUAAAAUCUGGCGGUCUUUUGGCUGUCCGAGUUGUAAUCUAGAGAAGUGUUAUCCGCGCUGGACCGUGUACAAGUCUCCUGGAAUGGAGCAUCAUAGAGGGUGAGAAUCCCGUCUUUGACAUGGACUGCCAGGGCUUUUGUGAUGCGCUCUCAAAGAGUCGAGUUGUUUGGGAAUGCAGCUCAAAAUGGGUGGUAAAUUCCAUCUAAAGCUAAAUAUUGGCGAGAGACCGAUAGCGAACAAGUACCGUGAGGGAAAGAUGAAAAGAACUUUGGAAAGAGAGUUAAACAGUACGUGAAAUUGCUGAAAGGGAAACGCUUGAAGUCAGUCGCGUCAUCCAGGGAUCAACCUUGCUUUUGCUUGGUGCACUUCCUGGUUUGAUGGGUCAGCAUCAAUUUUGGCCGCUGGAAAAAGGCUGAGGGAAUGUGGCAUCUUCGGAUGUGUUAUAGCCCUUAGUCACAUACAGUGGCUGGGAUUGAGGAACUCAGCACGCCGCAAG